This 25-nucleotide non-coding RNA is filed under the name Mus musculus (house mouse). The record is from RNAcentral. Lineage: Eukaryota; Metazoa; Chordata; Mammalia; Rodentia; Muridae.
UGAGAGAGCCUGGCUGUGAAAUCCU